RNAcentral lists this ribosomal RNA (465 nucleotides) under Vreelandella stevensii. RNAcentral describes it as "partial 16S ribosomal RNA". It matches the Rfam family "Bacterial small subunit ribosomal RNA", at positions 338 to 795 of the family's 1533-position model. Lineage: Bacteria; Pseudomonadati; Pseudomonadota; Gammaproteobacteria; Oceanospirillales; Halomonadaceae. The record is from RNAcentral.
CCUACGGGGGGCUGCAGUGGGGAAUAUUGGACAAUGGGGGCAACCCUGAUCCAGCCAUGCCGCGUGUGUGAAGAAGGCCCUCGGGUUGUAAAGCACUUUCAGUGAGGAAGAACGCCUGGUGGUUAAUACCCAUCAGGAAAGACAUCACUCACAGAAGAAACACCGGCUAACUCCGUGCCAGCAGCCGCGGUAAUACGGAGGGUGCGAGCGUUAAUCGGAAUUACUGGGCGUAAAGCGCGCGUAGGUGGCUUGAUAAGCCGGUUGUGAAAGCCCCGGGCUCAACCUGGGAACGGCAUCCGGAACUGUCAAGCUAGAGUGCAGGAGAGGAAGGUAGAAUUCCCGGUGUAGCGGUGAAAUGCGUAGAGAUCGGGAGGAAUACCAGUGGCGAAGGCGGCCUUCUGGACUGACACUGACACUGAGGUGCGAAAGCGUGGGUAGCAAACAGGAUUAGAUACCCCUGUAGUC